UGUGCCAGCAGCCGCGGUAAUUCCAGCUCCAAUAGCGUAUAUUAAAGUUGUUGCGGUAAAAAAGCUCGUAGUUGGAUUUCUGUUGAAGACGUCCGGUCCAUACCACGUAUGCGCAUCUGGCUCGGCUUCGGCAUCCUCUCGAAAGACGUUUCUGCGCUUGAUUGCGUGGAGCGGAUCUCGGGACUUUUACUUUGAGGAAAUUAGAGUGUUCACGGCAGGCUAUCGCCAGAAUACAUUAGCAUGGAAUAAUACUAUAGGAUCUCGGUUCUAUUUUGUUGGUUUCUAGAAUUGAGAUAAUGAUUAAUAGGGACAAUUGGGGGCAUUCGUAUCAACACGUUAGAGGUGAAAUUCUUGGAUCGUGUUGCGACGAACUACUGCGAAAGCAUUUGCCAAGGAUGUUUUCAUUGAUCAAGAACGAAAGUAAGGGGAUCGAAGACGAUUAGAUACCGUCGUAGUCUUUACCAUAAACUAUGCCAACUAGAGAUGGGACAUCGUUCACUUAAGACUUGUUCCGCACCUUAUGAGAUAUCAAAGUCUUUGGGUUCCGGGGGGAGUAUGGUCGCAAGUCUGAAACUUAAAGGAAUUGACGGAAGGGCACCACCAGGAGUGGAGCCUGCGGCUUAAUUUGACUCAACACGGGGAAACUCACCAGGUCCAGACAUAAUAAGGAUUGACAGAUUGAUAGCUCUUUCUUGAUUUUAUGGGUGGUGGCGCAUGGCCGUUCUUAGUUCGUGGAGUGAUUUGUCUGCUUAAUUGCGUUAACGAACGAGACCUUAACCUGCUAAAUAGGAGCGCCUAUCUCCGGAUAAGCGCCUUUCUUCUUAGAGGGACUUUAUGCGUUUCAGCAUGAGGAAGUUUGAGGCUAAAACAGGUCUGUGAU
This 880-nucleotide ribosomal RNA is filed under the name uncultured eukaryote. RNAcentral's name for it is "SSU rRNA". It matches the Rfam family "Eukaryotic small subunit ribosomal RNA", at positions 563 to 1468 of the family's 1831-position model. The record is from RNAcentral.